UUCCUGCAGAUCACUACAAAACCCCUGCAGGCGAAGUUCUUGGCUCAGCUGGACAAUUUAACAGACAAGCUGAUGCAAAAUUUUCAGGGGAGCAAAGGAGCAAAGGGCCAAAAGAUCAAGGAUAUCAUGGCGAUCAGUAGUUUGUAUGAUGACAUCGACAUAAAGAGGGAGCAUACUCUUAAAAGCCUGGUGAUCUACUUUAAUGAAGAUCCAGACCUACUGUUCAAGGAGUAUCUGACCUCCUCCACUGAGGAUGAACGGUUGAGGUCCACUGCAGCAACUGUCAUGGGC
Molecule: non-coding RNA, 291 nt
Organism: Maylandia zebra (zebra mbuna)
Lineage: Eukaryota; Metazoa; Chordata; Actinopteri; Cichliformes; Cichlidae
Source: RefSeq, a predicted model, not a curated record